AUUUUUUUAGAUAAUUUUUAAAGUAAAAAAAAAAUAUUCCCAUGAAUAUGUGAAGAAUUGGAGUAUGAAUAAGAUUGUUUAUGGUGCGGGGUCCCACACCAUAAGAUAUUGCGACCGAAAAAUAGAGCAGUGCGAUGACAGGUGUCCAACAGCAUUUGCCCCCUCUACUGACAAGGGGAGAGAGAAAGAGUCGGUCACGCACCUUGCAUGGAUUCAUAUAUUGUCGUCCAACCAUGAUUAGCUACGUGUACUUCGCUCACAGUAUGAGUCUAUGAAAUGUCCACCGUUAAUAUUACACUGCUUCGCAGGUUCAUUUUUUCCGUGAACUCUGAUUCUCCGACUGAAGACGUGGCAAUCCUGUGGUUAAUCAAGUGCAGGUGAGGAAAGUGGGGCCUAGCGUGGAGGGAGAUCUAGUGUUUGAGACAUUAUAUAUGUGGGACCACCUGAAUUGUAAAAUGAAAUAGAGUGGGACCUACUGCACUCCUUAUAUUCCUGAAUCCUGCUCGUGAUGCCCCAGUGCGGCUUAUAGUACGUUAAAUGAUAAGAGGAGCAAUUUGAUGUUGAGGUG
This 568-nucleotide unclassified non-coding RNA is filed under the name Hevea brasiliensis (rubber tree). The record is from RNAcentral. Lineage: Eukaryota; Viridiplantae; Streptophyta; Magnoliopsida; Malpighiales; Euphorbiaceae.